This 206-nucleotide ribosomal RNA is filed under the name uncultured bacterium. Its description in RNAcentral is "partial 16S ribosomal RNA". It matches the Rfam family "Bacterial small subunit ribosomal RNA", at positions 568 to 774 of the family's 1533-position model. The record is from RNAcentral.
UGCGUAGGUGGCUAUUUAAGUCGGAUGUGAAAGCCCGGGGCUCAACCUCGGAUUGCAUUCGAUACUGGGUGGCUAGAGUUCGGUAGAGGGCGGCGGAAUUUCCGGUGUAGCGGUGAAAUGCGUAGAUAUCGGAAGGAACAUCAAUGGCGAAGGCAGCCGCCUGGGCCUGGACUGACACUGAGGCACGAAAGCGUGGGUAGCAAACA